Jatropha curcas is the source of this 646-nucleotide long non-coding RNA. RefSeq lists it as uncharacterized. The record is from RefSeq and is a predicted model, not a curated record. Lineage: Eukaryota; Viridiplantae; Streptophyta; Magnoliopsida; Malpighiales; Euphorbiaceae.
ACCAAGCAAAGAAAAUGUUGAUAUUUUUUUUUUUAGUGUAAACCUUCGGUAUCUGGAUUUUAUUACCAAGUAUCGCCUAAUCCAGCUAAGGGCUUAGUUACAAUUAACGCUAUGCGCCCCUUCUUGCAUGCAGGUGUGCUUAGCAAAAGCUAUUUUCACAUGUCUAGUCUACAUUAUCAACUGAGCCACGACCCGCAGGUUGAACCAGAAUGCCAAAAAAGCUUGAAGUACCCUUGUGUAUAUCAGCUGAAGAAAUCAAAUCUUUUCUAUCUGGAGAUUACAGCUGAGAGAUUUAUAGAAUAACAGAGAGAAUAAAAAGAAAGCAGAUAAGGAGAUAUGGAAUGGAAAGAGAUUUGAUGAAUAAAGUUUUAAAUCAAUUUGCAUAUAAUGUGUCAAUUUGCUUGUACUUUGAAGUUAAAGUUGAACUCUCUCCCAAUCAAUGGACCAUUAAUUCAAGUUUGUAGGUUCAGUUUUAGGAUAUGAAGAUAAGAAUCAUGACUACCAUUAAACUGGUAGGUCCAAGGUUGAAGUUCUCCGAUGUUUUAGGAUAUAAUCAAUUUCCAUUCAACUCUAUUCAUUUAAAUUCGCAGUAACCUCGAGAAGUGAUAGAUGUUUUAAAGACAAUUUCCCUUCAUUAUGAUUUUAA